Molecule: long non-coding RNA, 850 nt
Organism: Cyanistes caeruleus (blue tit)
Lineage: Eukaryota; Metazoa; Chordata; Aves; Passeriformes; Paridae
Source: Ensembl
GGGGGGUCAUUGGUCAUUGAUUGGUCAUUGAUUGGUCAUUGGGUCAUUGGUCAUUGAUUGGUCAUUGAUUGGUCAUUGGGUCAUUGGUCAUUGAUUGGUCAUUGAUUGGUCAUUGAUUGGUCAUUGAUUGGUCAUUGGGUCAUUGGUCAUUGAUUGGUCAUUGAUUGGUCAUUGAUUGGUCAUUGGUCAGUCAUUAAUUGGGUCAUUGAUUGGUCAGUGAUUGGGUCAUUGAUUGGGUCAUUAAUUGGGUCAUUGAUUGGUCAGUGAUUGGGUCAUUGAUUGGGUCAUUGAUUGGGUCAAUGAUUGGGUAUUGAUUGGUCAUUGGGUCAUUGGGUCCCUGGUUGUUCCCGGGCGCAUUUCCCGCCAUGUCCUGGUGUCCCCAUGUCACCAUGUCCCGGCAUUUCAGUGUCCCCAUACCCUGAUGUCCCCAUACCCCGAUAUCCCGGUGUUUUGGUGUCCCCAAUCCCGUUAUCCCACUGUCCCCAAUCCUGUUAUUCCAUUGUCCCCAAUCCCAUUAUUCCGUUAUUACACUGUCCCCACUGUCCCCAACCCCGUUAUUUCCGUGUCCCCAAUCCCGUUAUCCCGUUAUUCCAUUGUCCCCAAUCCCGUUAUUCCAUUGUCCCUACCCCCGUUAUUUCCCUGUCCCCACCGCCGUUGUUCCGAGUCCCUGACGCCGUGUCCCCCGGGUGUCAGUGACGGCGAGGAGAAGGCGUCGGGCAGCUCGGGGGGCUCGGUGUGCGCGGCGGGCGCGGCGCUGGGCAGCGAUGACAGCCUGGCCGGUUACGGCGGCAGCGCCGAUGUCCAGUUCAACGAGGACGGCUCCUUCAUCGGCCAGUACAGCGGCACCCGC